Molecule: ribosomal RNA, 1054 nt
Filed under: Rhizoclosmatium globosum
Lineage: Eukaryota; Fungi; Chytridiomycota; Chytridiomycetes; Chytridiales; Chytriomycetaceae
Description: SSU rRNA
Rfam family: Eukaryotic small subunit ribosomal RNA
Source: RNAcentral
UAGCCAUGCAUGUCUAAGUAUAAACUCGUUUGUACUGUGUGAAACUGCGAAUGGCUCAUUAAAUCAGUUAUAGUUUAUUUGAUAUAACCUUACUACUUGGAUAUCCGUGGUAAUUCUAGAGCUAAUACAUGCAAUUAAAAUCCUGACUUCUGGAAGGGAUGUAUUUAUUAGAUAAAAAACCAACCCGGCAACGGUUCUUUGGUGAUUCAUAGUAACUUUUCGAAUCGCAUGACUUUACGUCGGCGAUGGUUCAUUCAAAUUUCUGCCCUAUCAAGUUUCGAUGGUAGGAUAGAGGCCUACCAUGCUUUUUACGGGUAACGGCGAAUUAGGGUUCGAUUCCGGAGAGGGAGCCUGAGAAACGGCUACCACAUCUAAGGAAGGCAGCAGGCGCGCAAAUUACCCAAUCCUGAUUCAGGGAGGUAGUGACAAUAAAUAACAAUCCAGGGCUUUUGUCUUGGAAUUGGAAUGAGAACAAUUUAAAUCUCUUAACGAGGAACAAUUGGAGGGCAAGUCUGGUGCCAGCAGCCGCGGUAAUUCCAGCUCCAAUAGCGUAUAUUAAAGUUGUUGCAGUUAAAUAGCUCGUAGUUGAAUCUUGGGCCUGGUUUGGCGGUCGCGCUUUAGGGCGUGUACUGUCGGCCGGGUCUUUUACUUGCGGGGAACGUGCGUGCCUCUCGGGGUGUGUACGGGAACCGUGGCUAUUACUUUGAAAAAAUUAGAGUGUUUAAAGCAGGCGUAAGCUUGUAUACAUUAGCAUGGAAUAAUAGAAUAGGACUUUGGUUUUAUUUUGUUGGUUUCUAGGGCCGAAGUAAUGAUUAAUAGGGAUAGUUGGGGGCAUUAGUAUUUAAUAGUCAGAGGUGAAAUUCUUGGAUUUAUGAAAGACUAACUUCUGCGAAAGCAUUUGCCAAGGAUGUUUUCAUUAAUCAAGAACGAAAGUCAGGGGAUCGAAGAUGAUCAGAUACCGUCGUAGUCCUGACCGUAAACUAUGCCGACUAGGGAUCGGGCGUUGUAUUUCAUGACACGCUCGGCACCUUAUGAGAAAUCAAAGUCUUGGUAC